CAACGUGGGCAACCUGCCCUAAAGUGGGGGACAACAUUCCGAAAGGGGUGCUAAUACCGCAUGUGUAUGUUUGAUGGCAUCAUCGGAUAUACAAAGGAUUUAUUCGCUUUAGGAUGGGCCCGCGGCCUAUCAGCUAGUUGGUGAGGUAACGGCUCACCAAGGCUUCGACGGGUAGCUGGUCUGAGAGGACGAUCAGCCGGAUUGGGACUGAGAUACGGCCCAG
This 223-nucleotide ribosomal RNA is filed under the name uncultured bacterium. RNAcentral describes it as "partial 16S ribosomal RNA". It matches the Rfam family "Bacterial small subunit ribosomal RNA", at positions 113 to 334 of the family's 1533-position model. The record is from RNAcentral.